GACGAACGCUGGCGGCGUGCCUAAUACAUGCAAGUAGAACGCACAGUUUAUACCGUAGCUUGCUACACCAUAGACUGUGAGUCGCGAACGGGUGAGUAACGCGUAGGUAACCUGCCUGGUAGCGGGGGAUAACUAUUGGAAACGAUAGCUAAUACCGCAUAAUAUUGAUUAUUGCAUGAUAAUUGAUUGAAAGAUGCUAUUGCAUCACUACCAGAUGGACCUGCGUUGUAUUAGCUAGUAGGUGAGGUAACGGCUCACCUAGGCGACGAUACAUAGCCGACCUGAGAGGGUGAUAGGCCACACUGGGACUGAGACACGGCCCAGACUCCUACGGGAGGCAGCAGUAGGGAAUCUUCGGCAAUGGACGAAAGUCUGAACGAGCAACGCCGCGUGAGUGAAGAAGGGUGUCGGAUCGUAAAGCUCGGUUGUAAGAGAAGAACGGGUGUGAGAGUGGAAAGUUCACAAUGUGACGGUAUCUUACCAGAAAGGGACGGCUAACUACGUG
This 505-nucleotide ribosomal RNA is filed under the name uncultured bacterium. RNAcentral describes it as "partial 16S ribosomal RNA". It matches the Rfam family "Bacterial small subunit ribosomal RNA", at positions 28 to 507 of the family's 1533-position model. The record is from RNAcentral.